This is a long non-coding RNA of Oncorhynchus tshawytscha (Chinook salmon), 2583 nucleotides long. Lineage: Eukaryota; Metazoa; Chordata; Actinopteri; Salmoniformes; Salmonidae. The record is from Ensembl.
ACACACACACACACACACACACACACACACACACACACACACACACACACACACACACACAGCCAGCCUCAUACAGUGUAAGUGAGCUACUCCCGAGCCCAGAUAGGAUUUAGUUAUUAAAAGUGAGUAGUACUACUGUUUGAGUAAAAGUUAGACAGUGUUACUGUGACUACUGACUAAGGCUUCUCAUACUGAACUUGAAGGAUCACUCACACAGAGGACAAAACAGAAAAAACGUCUGAUAAAACUGCAGUUCCUCACAAUAAAAUGACAGCUCUUAAGAUUGUUCAAAUAGAAUGAAGACCAGCUCUAUAAACGACAUUAAAACAAAUAGUUUUGAGCUGAUUGGAACUCUGGGUCCAAUUCAUGAAGGCAGGUCUUUGAAGGCGUUAGAAAAGUCCCCUUUAUCAAAAUGUUCUCUGGGCUGGCUCAGUCCAGUCCAACCUGCGUUGAGUAAUAUGUGUAUUCAAGCUUCAGGCAGAUAGCUGUGAGGGAAGGUUCUCUUUUCUUUCUCCCCAGCAAACAUGAACCCAUUGGCCCCAUGUGGGUAUUUGGUGGGCAAGUUGGGCUAGCCUAAGCCAGCCCAACACAGGCUAGCCCACACCAAUCCCACAUCAGCCCAACAUCAGAUAUCCUACAUCAGCACCCAGCCCAACAAAGGCUACCCCACACCAACCCAACACAGGCUAGCCCACACCAACCCAACACAGGCUAGCCCACACCAACCCAACACAGGCUAGCCCAUACCAACCCAACACAGGCUAGCCCAUACCAACCCAACACAGGCUAGCCCAUACCAACCCAACACAGGCUAGCCCACACCAACCCAACACAGGCUAGCCCACACCAACCCAACACAGGCUAGCCCACACCAACCCAACACAGGCUAGCCCACACCAACCCAACACAGGCUAGCCCAUACCAACCCAACACAGGCUAGCCCACACCAACCCAACACAGGCUAGCCCAUACCAACCCAACACAGGCUAGCCCACACCAACCCAACACAGGCUAGCCCACACCAACCCAACACAGGCUAGCCCAUACCAACGAAACACAGAAUAGCCCACACCAGCCCAACACAGGCUAGCCCAUACCAACUAAACACAGAAUAGCCCACACCAGCCCAACACAGGCUAGCCCAUACCAACUAAACACAGAAUAGCCCACACCAGCCCAACACAGGCUAGCCUAUACCAACUAAACACAGGCUAGCCCACACCAACCCAACACAGGCUAGCCCACACCAACCCAACACAGGCUAGCCUAUACCAACUAAACACAGAAUAGCCCACAUCAGCCCAACACAGGCUAGCCUAUACCAACUAAACACAGGCUAGCCCACACCAGCCCAACACGGGCUAGCCCAUACCAACUAAACACAGAAUAGCCCACACCAGCCCAACACAGGCUAGCCUAUACCAACUAAACACAGGCUAGCCCACACCAACCCAACACAGGCUAGCCCACACCAACCCAACACAGGCUAGCCCACACCAACCCAACACGGGCUAGCCCACACCAGCCCAACACGGGCUAGCCCAUACCAACAAAACACAGGCUAGCCCACACCAGCCCAACACGGGCUAGCCCAUACCAACUAAACACAGGCUAGCCCACACCAACCCAACACAGGCUAGCCCACACCAACCCAACACAGGCUAGCCCACACCAGCCCAACACGGGCUAGCCCACACCAGCCCAACACGGGCUAGCCCAUACCAACAAAACACAGAAUAGCCCACACCAGCCCAACACGGGCUAGCCCACACCAGCCCAACACGGGCUAGCCCAUACCAACAAAACACAGAAUAGCCCACACCAGCCCAACACGGGCUAGCCCACACCAGCCCAACACAGGCUAGCCCAUACCAACUAAACACAGAAUAGCCCACACCAGCCCAACACAGGCUAGCCCAUACCAACUAAACACAGAAUAGCCCACACCAAAGGCGCAUCGGCCCAAUGUGGGCAGCCUAGAUGGGGCCAAUAUUUUAGCCCAAAUUGGGCCCACACCGAGACAAUGUGGACAUGUUUGCUGGGGCUAAAACCUACAAUUUCUAGUUCCUUGUAAUUUUAUCGCUCUCUCCACGGUGCCGUGAGAAAACAAUAUAGUCCAAAUCUCCUUAAUGUUGUUUGAAUCUAAUGUCUCACAUUGGGCAUAUUAAGCAGAUUGCCUGCGUUAAACUACUGCUGUCAGAGCAGCAUGACAGACAUUACCAGCACUUAAGGCACUUUGUUUGUGUAUGUGUGUGUGUAUGUGUGUGUGUGUGUGUGUCUCUGUUUAUCUGCAUGUGUGUGUUUGUUUGUAGGUGUGUAUGUGUGUUCGAACACCCCAAAUCUGAUUUUGCCCAUUCAUCCAAGUCUGUAAUCGUGCCCCAGACAGUUUGGUCCAUUUAAAAUGUAAAAAUAAAGUAAUAAAGGCUCAAUAAAGUAAUCAUAUCAUGCUGCUGCUCUAUAACUGUGCUGUCACCUCUACUGUGAUCAUAAGAGACAAGACCUGAGAGAGAAUGACAACAUCAAUGCUUGGCUAACAACUAUCACUGUAAUAAACAUGUGUAUGGAUCUGAAAGGCCUUGGUAG